UGCACUGAAUGGUAUCUGCACCCAGCAGCAUUCUCUGCUGGGAUGCUCAAAGAUCAGUGCUACAGGAGGUCAGCAUUGGCAUCGUUGGUUUUCAUUCUGCUGUGUUUGUUAAACCUGGUAUUAUGGCUGAUACAGUU
Amazona collaria (yellow-billed parrot) is the source of this 137-nucleotide small nucleolar RNA. The record is from Ensembl. Lineage: Eukaryota; Metazoa; Chordata; Aves; Psittaciformes; Psittacidae.